GGGGGAGAAAGAGUUCUGCAGGUGAUUCCUAUGGGUACAGGGGGGGGAAAGAGUUCUGCAGGUGAUUCCUAUGGGUACAGGGGGGGAAAGAAAAGAGUUCUGCAGGUGAUUCCUAUGGGUACGGGGGGAAAGAGGGGAAGAGUAACACAGUCCCCUGGGGGAGUGUUGAGCAGCAGUGAAGAGUAGGAACAGGGCUUUCAGAAUGUUGAAAAGGACCUGUAAUUACCAGCACCUGAUACAGUAGAAACAAGAAGUAGUAAGGAGGAUCAUUAGGACAGCUAAGAGGGCAUAUUGGCGCCAGUUCUGUGGAAACAAAGGCAGGACCACUCCUGUGGGAGAGGUAUGGGGGAUGAUUAAGAGAAUGAGUGGGGUCAGAAGAGAUUGGGAUCUCCCUGUGCUGAAAAGGGGGAGAUGCGAGCCCAGGCAUUUGUGAAGGUGCACAACUCAAAUAAUCUGACAGAAGAGGGGUAGGGUGGGAGAGAGAGGGUCAGAGGAGAACAUCCGGGGGUCCUGGAUCAGAAAGAGAUGGUGGGGGAUACAUUGAAUGGCCCUUUUACGUUGGCUGAGAUGAGUGCAUUAGCUAAAGCUGGGGUAACAUCUCCUGGGAAGGAUGAGAUGUGUUACAUCAUGAUGGCUCAUCUCAGUGACACUGCAAUGGGGAAAGUAUUGGGCCUUUACAAUAAGGUGGGGCAGGAAGGGAAACUGCCUGGAAGUUGGAAGCAGGUGGUAGUGGUGUCAAUAUGGAGACCAGGGAAAGACCCUACUAGUCCUUUAAAUUAUAGGCAGAUAGUGUUGACAUCUCACGUAUGUAAACUAUAGAAAGGCUGACAUACGUUCUGUUGAGGGCUAAUGUCACCAGAUCAAAGUGGGUUCAGGAAAGGCAGGGGAACGAUGGACCCUGCACUGUGCCUAGAGUCAGUCAUAUAGAAGGCACAGGGAAAUAAGGAGGUGGUGGUAGUCGUUUUCUUCGAUGUAGAGAAGGUUUAUGAUGUGUAAGGAAGGCCUACUUAUCAGGCUGGAUAACAUGGGGGUUGGAGGAAGAAAGCUAUGAAUAUUGAGUGUGAUGCGUUGCUUGUCAGGAAUGGAGUAACAGAUAGAAUGGUGUUAAAUGAUAUAUAUAGCGCUGUUAAUUUCAUCAGUGGAUUGUGGAAGUAUAGCAUAUGGAUCAGCAGCUCAGACAUCUUUAAAAAAGCUGGAUGUUAUCCAGGCUCAAGCCCUGAGAAUAUGUUGUGGAGCCCUUAGGACCUCCUGGUGGCAGCGAUGCAGGUAGAUUUAGGAGAGAUGCUGUUAAAGUUAAGAAAACAACAGUUAGCCAUAACAUAUUGGGUAAAUCUACAAGGACAUAAGGUUACACAUCCUAUAAAAAUGGUGCUCCUAGAGUGCUGGGAACUAGGGUUGUUUGGGAGGGAGUUUAGCCCCUCUGUGGUUCUUCCUGCUAUCCCACCUUGGUUUCUCCCUCAGCCAGUGGUAGGUCUAGGGUUGUU
Molecule: long non-coding RNA, 1484 nt
Organism: Oncorhynchus tshawytscha (Chinook salmon)
Lineage: Eukaryota; Metazoa; Chordata; Actinopteri; Salmoniformes; Salmonidae
Source: Ensembl